This 253-nucleotide ribosomal RNA is filed under the name uncultured bacterium. RNAcentral's name for it is "partial 16S ribosomal RNA". It matches the Rfam family "Bacterial small subunit ribosomal RNA", at positions 524 to 776 of the family's 1533-position model. The record is from RNAcentral.
UACGUAGGGUGCGAGCGUUAAUCGGAAUUACUGGGCGUAAAGCGUGCGCAGGCGGUUUUGUAAGCCAGAUGUGAAAUCCCCGGGCUCAACCUGGGAAUGGCAUUUGGGACUGCAAGGCUUGAGUGCGGCAGAGGAGACUGGAAUUCCUGGUGUAGCAGUGAAAUGCGUAGAUAUCAGGAGGAACAUCGAUGGCGAAGGCAGCCCCUUGGCCCUGUAUUGACGUUCAUGCACGAAAGCGUGGGGAGAAAACAGG